AGUGAACGCUGGCGGUAGGCCUAACACAUGCAAGUCGAACGGCAGCACAGUAAGAGCUUGCUCUUACGGGUGGCGAGUGGCGGACGGGUGAGGAAUACAUCGGAAUCUACUUUUUCGUGGGGGAUAACGUAGGGAAACUUACGCUAAUACCGCAUACGACCUACGGGUGAAAGCAGGGGAUCUUCGGACCUUGCGCGAUUGAAUGAGCCGAUGUCGGAUUAGCUAGUUGGCGGGGUAAAGGCCCACCAAGGCGACGAUCCGUAGCUGGUCUGAGAGGAAGAUCAGCCACACUGGAACUGAGACACGGUCCAGACUCCUACGGGAGGAAGCAGUGGGGAAUAUUGGACAAUGGGCGCAAGCCUGAUCCAGCCAUACCGCGUGGGUGAAGAAGGCCUUCGGGUUGUAAAGCCCUUUUGUUGGGAAAGAAAAGCAGCAGGUUAAUACCCCGCUGUUCUGACGGUACCCAAAGAAUAAGCACCGGCUAACUUCGUG
Molecule: ribosomal RNA, 492 nt
Filed under: uncultured bacterium
Lineage: Bacteria
Description: partial 16S ribosomal RNA
Rfam family: Bacterial small subunit ribosomal RNA
Source: RNAcentral